GCUUACGGCCAUAUCACGUUGAAAGCACCGGUUCUCGUCCGAUCACCGAAGUUAAGCAACAUCGAGCCUAGUUAGUACUUAGAUGGGUGACCGCUUGGGAAACCUAGGUGCUGUAACUA
This 119-nucleotide ribosomal RNA is filed under the name Octopus vulgaris (common octopus). RNAcentral also lists the same sequence under 1 other name. The record is from RNAcentral. Lineage: Eukaryota; Metazoa; Mollusca; Cephalopoda; Octopoda; Octopodidae.